UGUGUUAAUUACACAGACUUAUAGAUGUUUAUUACACAGCCCCUAUAUGUGUUUAUUACACAGACUUAUAGAUGUUUAUUACACAGCCCCUAUAUGUGUUUAUUACACAGACUUAUAGAUGUUUAUUACACAGCCCCUAUAUGUGUUUAUUACACAGACUUAUAGAUGUUUAUUACACAGCCCCUAUAUGUUAAUUACACAGACUUAUAGAUGUUUAUUACACAGCCCCUAUGUGUUAAUUACACAGACUUAUAUAUGUUUAUUACACAGCCCCUAUGUGUUUAUUACACAGCUUAUAGAUGUUUAUUACACAGCCCCUAUAUGUGUUUAUUACAUAGACGUAUAUAUGUUUAUUACAGCCUUAUGGAUGUUUAAUACACAGCCCCCAGAGGUGUUUAUUACACAGCUUAUAGAUGUUUAUUACACAGCCCCUAUAAGCAGGGCUGUAGUGGAGGGUAAACGUACGUAAACGCCGUUUACGCACAUCUAGAAUUUUGGAAAUAGCAUUUACGCACCUAUAAAUAGCGUUUACGCACCUCUAAAUAGCGUUUACGCACCUCAAAGUUCCCUGCGCCUUGUAUUCUUCCGUUGGAAUAAUCCGAAAUAAACUUGGUGUAAUUUUAAAACAGCUAAGAUUACUUUUCCUAUUGUUGAACAUAUAGCAGAAACACCAGAUCCAAUAGAGAGAGGAGAAGCACAGAGGAACACGUGUUCUGGGGUUCAUGGCUCCUCUGUGCAAGGCAGGACCUGACGUGGAGGACAAGGAGGCCCUCUGGGCACUACUGUGAAAAGGAGACUCCAUAUGUAGAUAGUUC
Molecule: long non-coding RNA, 815 nt
Organism: Gasterosteus aculeatus aculeatus (three-spined stickleback)
Lineage: Eukaryota; Metazoa; Chordata; Actinopteri; Perciformes; Gasterosteidae
Source: Ensembl